Molecule: long non-coding RNA, 333 nt
Organism: Melitaea cinxia (Glanville fritillary)
Lineage: Eukaryota; Metazoa; Arthropoda; Insecta; Lepidoptera; Nymphalidae
Exons: 2
Source: RefSeq, a predicted model, not a curated record
AUUCUCUUUGUUUGACACGUAAUGAUGAACUAAUGAAUUCUACUUGAACUGUUUAGUUCUGUGAAACAAAAUCAAAAGAUUUUAAUUAAAUAUAUAAAAUAUAAAGAAUUUUUAUCAUAGUCUAAUUUGUAUUAAUGUGAUAUAAUCGGUCCGAAGUUAGUCAAUAGAUGAAAGUAAAUAAAAAAGAUAGCAAUUGAGAAAUUAGAUUUUUAAGUUACGAAAUAUUUUUCAGGUAGGUCUGAGCAUCGGCCAACAUCAUGUUAAAUAUCAAAGGAUAAUAUUUGUUCAAUGCUUCAGGGGAACACAUUUAUUGUAAGAAUUUUGUCAUGGAGU